This is a non-coding RNA of Acanthosepion pharaonis, 99 nucleotides long. NCBI's taxonomy places the organism in Eukaryota, Metazoa, Mollusca, Cephalopoda, Sepiida, Sepiidae. The record is from the annotation of a GenBank genome assembly.
AUUGAAACACCAGUUCUCGUACGAUCACCAAAGUUAAGCACCGUCGAUCCUGGUCAAUAACUUGACGGGUGACCGCUUGGGAAUAUCAGAUGCUGUAAG